GCGUUGCUCGGAAUUACUGGGCGUAAAGGGAGCGUAGGCGGACAUUUAAGUCAGGGGUGAAAUCCCGGGGCUCAACCUCGGAAUUGCCUUUGAUACUGGGUGUCUUGAGUAUGAGAGAGGUAUGUGGAACUCCGAGUGUAGAGGUGAAAUUCGUAGAUAUUCGGAAGAACACCAGUGGCGAAGGCGACAUACUGGCUCAUUACUGACGCUGAGGCUCGAAAGCGUG
RNAcentral lists this ribosomal RNA (226 nucleotides) under uncultured bacterium. Its description in RNAcentral is "partial 16S ribosomal RNA". It matches the Rfam family "Bacterial small subunit ribosomal RNA", at positions 538 to 763 of the family's 1533-position model. The record is from RNAcentral.